AACGUAGGAGGCGAGCGUUAUCCGGAAUCACUGGGCGUAAAGGGCAAGUAGGCGGUAGGUUAAGUCAGGCGUGACAGUUCCCGGCUCAACUGGGAAAGGUCGCCUGAGACUGGCCAACUAGAGGGCAGGAGAGGAAAGCGGAAUUCCUAGUGUAGCGGUGGAAUGCUCAGAUAUUAGGAAGAACACCAGUGGCGAAGGCGGCUUUCUGGCCUGCACCUGACGCUGAAGGGCGAAAGCUAGGGGAGCAAACGGGCUUAGAUACCCCGGUAGUCCUAGCUGUAAACGUUGGAUACUGGGUAAUGGGGGGCAACACCCUCAGUGCCGAAGCAAACGCGUUAAGUAUCCCGCCUGGGGACUACGGCCGCAAGGUUA
RNAcentral lists this ribosomal RNA (372 nucleotides) under uncultured prokaryote. RNAcentral describes it as "bacterial SSU rRNA". It matches the Rfam family "Bacterial small subunit ribosomal RNA", at positions 524 to 896 of the family's 1533-position model. The record is from RNAcentral.